This 1203-nucleotide long non-coding RNA is filed under the name Homo sapiens (human). RNAcentral's name for it is "lncAB324.2". Lineage: Eukaryota; Metazoa; Chordata; Mammalia; Primates; Hominidae. The record is from RNAcentral.
GGGUGUGGUACUGAGGCUUCAGCGGGUGCCGCCCGCCUAGAGGGAGUGGAGCGGUGAGCACGUCAGGGGUGGGGGGCGCAGGUCAAGCUUUCACCAGUUUUUAAUUCUUUGAUGGGGUAAAUUUGAGCAAUUUUCUCGACUUGUCGACAUUCGUUAUUAACUGAGCAGGAAUCAGGAGAGGAACCCGGUCCUCUCCACACAGCCCAGCAGGUACGCCGCCCAUGUGCCUGUGGAGAAGAGAGGUUCCUGUGGGGCAGACAGGUGUGGACCAAGUAGCUGUGAAAUUUCUUCUGAAGAAAACACACAAGGAGGAAGCGAGUGAGCUCAGUGGAGGAGGGGCGCUACCCCAGGGGACGUCCCCAUGCAUGGGCUUGUGAACCUCGAAUAUGUGAGACGGUCUCAGUCAAUUUAGAAAGUUUAUUUUGCCAAGGUUGAGGACGCACGCCCGUGACACAGCCUCAGGAGGUCUUGACAUGUGCCAAAGGUGGUCGGGACACAGCUUGCUUUUAUACAUUUUAGGGAGACAGGAGACAUCAAUAUAUGUAAGAUGAACGUUGGUUCCCUCGGGAAAGGCGGGACAACUCGAAGCAGGGAGGGGGCUUCCAGGUCACAGAGAGCCUACGACUAGAUUUGCAUCUUUACGUCCUGCGCGGAGGCUGCUACACACAUGCAGAAGUCAUGCUGGUGGCCUGGACAUUGAAGGGAGAGAAGUGGAUUUGGGAGACAUUUAGGAGAUGGCACCGAAAGCGAAGGAAGCUCCUGCUCCUCCUAAAGCCGAAGCCAAAGCGAAGGCUUUAAAGGCCAAGAAGGCAGUGUUGAAAGGUGUCCGCAGCCACACGCAAAAAAGAGGAUCCGCAUGUCACUCACCUUCAGGCGGCCCAAGACACUGUGACUCCGGAGGCAGCCCAGAUAGCCUCAGAAGAGCACCCCCAGGAGAAACAAGCUUGGCCACUAUGCUAUCAUCAAGUUUCCGCUGACCACUGAGUCGGCCGUGAAGAAGAUAGAAGAAAACAACACGCUUGUGUUCACUGUGGAUGUUAAAGCCAACAAGCACCAGAUCAGACAGGCUGUGAAGAAGCUCUAUGACAGUGAUGUGGCCAAGGUCACCACCCUGAUUUGUCCUGAUAAAGAGAAGAAGGCAUAUGUUCGACUUGCUCCUGAUUAUGAUGCUUUCGAUGUUGUAACAAAAUUGGGAUCACCUAA